UGGCUCAGAUUGAACGCUGGCGGCAGGCUUAACACAUGCAAGUCGAGCGGGGGAAGGUAGCUUGCUACUGGACCUAGCGGCGGACGGGUGAGUAAUGCUUAGGAAUCUGCCUAUUAGUGGGGGACAACAUCUCGAAAGGGAUGCUAAUACCGCAUACGUCCUACGGGAGAAAGCAGGGGAUCUUCGGACCUUGCGCUAAUAGAUGAGCCUAAGUCGGAUUAGCUAGUUGGUGGGGUAAAGGCCUACCAAGGCGACGAUCUGUAGCGGGUCUGAGAGGAUGAUCCGCCACACUGGGACUGAGACACGGCCCAGACUCCUACGGGAGGCAGCAGUGGGGAAUAUUGGACAAUGGGGGGAACCCUGAUCCAGCCAUGCCGCGUGUGUGAAGAAGGCCUUAUGGUUGUAAAGCACUUUAAGCGAGGAGGAGGCUACUCUAGUUAAUACCUAGAGAUAGUGGACGUUACUCGCAGAAUAAGCACCGGCUAACUCUGUGCCAGCAGCCGCGGUAAUACAGAGGGUGCGAGCGUUAAUCGGAUUUACUGGGCGUAAAGCGUGCGUAGGCGGCUUAUUAAGUCGGAUGUGAAAUCCCCGAGCUUAACUUGGGAAUUGCAUUCGAUACUGGUAAGCUAGAGUAUGGGAGAGGAUGGUAGAAUUCCAGGUGUAGCGGUGAAAUGCGUAAAGAUCUGGAGGAAUACCGAUGGCGAAGGCAGCCAUCUGGCCUAAUACUGACGCUGAGGUACGAAAGCAUGGGGAGCAAACAGGAUUAGAUACCCUGGUAGUCCAUGCCGUAAACGAUGUCUACUAGCCGUUGGGGCCUUUGAGGCUUUAGUGGCGCAGCUAACGCGAUAAGUAGACCGCCUGGGGAGUACGGUCGCAAGACUAAAACUCAAAUGAAUUGACGGGGGCCCGCACAAGCGGUGGAGCAUGUGGUUUAAUUCGAUGCAACGCGAAGAACCUUACCUGGCCUUGACAUACUAGAAACUUUCCAGAGAUGGAUUGGUGCCUUCGGGAAUCUAGAUACAGGUGCUGCAUGGCUGUCGUCAGCUCGUGUCGUGAGAUGUUGGGUUAAGUCCCGCAACGAGCGCAACCCUUUUCCUUACUUGCCAGCAUUUCGGAUGGGAACUUUAAGGAUACUGCCAGUGACAAACUGGAGGAAGGCGGGGACGACGUCAAGUCAUCAUGGCCCUUACGGCCAGGGCUACACACGUGCUACAAUGGUCGGUACAAAGGGUUGCUACACAGCGAUGUGAUGCUAAUCUCAAAAAGCCGAUCGUAGUCCGGAUUGGAGUCUGCAACUCGACUCCAUGAAGUCGGAACCGCUAGUAAUCGCGGAUCAGAAUGCCGCGGUGAAUACGUUCCCGGGCCUUGUACACACCGCCCGUCACACCAUGGGAGUUUGUUGCACCAGAAGUAGCUAGCCUAACUGCAAAGAGGGCGGUUACCACGGUGUGGCCGAUGACUGGGGUGAAGUCGUAACAAGGUAGCCGUAGGGGAACCUGCGG
This 1502-nucleotide ribosomal RNA is filed under the name Acinetobacter baumannii. Its description in RNAcentral is "bacterial SSU rRNA". It matches the Rfam family "Bacterial small subunit ribosomal RNA". The record is from RNAcentral. Lineage: Bacteria; Pseudomonadati; Pseudomonadota; Gammaproteobacteria; Moraxellales; Moraxellaceae.